UCCGUAGGUGAACCUGCGGAAGGAUCAUUUAUGAGUUUGAACAGGACUUGAUGCUGGCUAUAUGCAUGUGCUCAGUUCUACUCAAUCCAUUAUACACCUGUGCACUUUCAAAGUUGUAGUCCUCCGUCAUGGGAGCCGUACCUUGUCAUGAGGUACUGGGACUAUAUGCUUUGCCCUUUAUUACAAACUUUAUUAUUGUCUUGUAGAAUGUUAAUAGCCUAAGGGCUUAACUUAAUACAACUUUCAACAACGGAUCUCUUGGCUCUCGCAUCGAUGAAGAACGCAGCGAAAUGCGAUAAGUAAUGUGAAUUGCAGAAUUCAGUGAAUCAUCGAAUCUUUGAACGCACCUUGCACUCCUUGGUAUUCCGAGGAGUAUGCCUGUUUGAGUGUCUGUAAAUCAUCAAUCCAUCUUCACUUUGUUGUGGAGUUUGGAUUGGACUUGGGGAUUGCUGUCCUUUACAGGUUGGCUUCCCUUAAAGAUAUUAGUUGGACUGAGUUGCAAUGCUACGUGUAGUGGUGGAUAAUAUCCUUCACUGGCAUAGGUUGGUAAUGGAAGGUUUAGGCUUCUAACCGGGUCCUUUACUGGGGACACUACUUGGGACCAUUAGACCUCAAAUCAGGUAGGACUACCCGCUGAACUUAAGCAUAUCAAUAAGCGGAGG
RNAcentral lists this ribosomal RNA (662 nucleotides) under uncultured fungus. Its description in RNAcentral is "eukaryotic LSU rRNA". The stretch from base 239 to 392 matches the Rfam family "5.8S ribosomal RNA". Lineage: Eukaryota; Fungi. The record is from RNAcentral.